RNAcentral lists this ribosomal RNA (868 nucleotides) under uncultured bacterium. Its description in RNAcentral is "bacterial SSU rRNA". It matches the Rfam family "Bacterial small subunit ribosomal RNA", at positions 1 to 917 of the family's 1533-position model. The record is from RNAcentral.
UCGCCCUUAAGUUUGAUCCUGGCUCAGAGCGAACGCUGGCGGCAGGCCUAACACAUGCAAGUCGAACGGACCCUUCGGGGUUAGUGGCGGACGGGUGAGUAACACGUGGGAACGUGCCUUUAGGUUCGGAAUAGCUCCUGGAAACGGGUGGUAAUGCAGAAUGUGCCCUUCGGGGGAAAGAUUUAUCGCCUUUAGAGCGGCCCGCGUCUGAUUAGCUAGUUGGUGAGGUAAUGGCUCACCAAGGCGACGAUCAGUAGCUGGUCUGAGAGGAUGACCAGCCACAUUGGGACUGAGACACGGCCCAAACUCCUACGGGAGGCAGCAGUGGGGAAUCUUGCGCAAUGGGCGAAAGCCUGACGCAGCCAUGCCGCGUGAAUGAUGAAGGUCUUAGGAUUGUAAAAUUCUUUCACCGGGGACGAUAAUGACGGUACCCGGAGAGGAAGCCCCGGCUAACUUCGUGCCAGCAGCCGCGGUAAUACGAAGGGGGCUAGCGUUGCUCGGAAUUACUAGGCGUAAAGGGCGCGUAGGCGGACAUUUAAGUCAGGGGUGAAAUCCCAGAGCUCAACUCUGGAACUGCCUUCGAUACUGGGUGGCUUGAGUGUGAGAGAGGUAUGUGGAACUCCGAGUGUAGAGGUGAAAUGCGUAGAUAUUCGGAAGAACACCAGUGGCGAAGGCGACAUACUGGCUCAUUACUGACGCUGAGGCGCGAAAGCGUGGGGAGCAAACAGGAUUAGAUACCCUGGUAGUCCACGCCGUAACGAUGAUUGCUAGUUGUCGGGCUGCAUGCAGUUCGGUGACGCAGCUAACGCAUUAAGCAAUCCGCCUGGGGAGUACGGUCGCAAGAUUAAAACUCAAAGGAAUUGACGGA